Molecule: long non-coding RNA, 1611 nt
Filed under: Homo sapiens (human)
Lineage: Eukaryota; Metazoa; Chordata; Mammalia; Primates; Hominidae
Description: non-protein coding lnc-ATAD5-9:9
Source: RNAcentral
UGGCGGCGGUGCUGGGCCAGGGGAAGGAAGGGACACGGAGGCCGCCCUCGCCCCGCCACCUCCUACCAGCUUCCCCCCAGCCCCGGCUCCGGGAGAUGUGCCGGGCGGGGGGCCCGGGUUCGCCGAGCCGCAGGAGAGACACGCUGGGCCGACCCCAGAGCGGCGCUGGACAGAGCCAACACAGAUCUAUAGAUUUCUUUGAACUCGGAAUCUCAUAGCACCAAUAUUUUUGCACAGAACUCUUACUUACAUGUCUCAUCGAAACUCCAGAACAAACAUCAAAAGCUUGUCAGCUCAUUUGCAGCUUACAUUUUUGGUUUCUUCCACAAAAAUGAUAAGCCAUCACCAAACUCAGAAAAUGAACAAAAUUCUGUUACCCUGGAAGUCCUGCUUGUGAAAGUUUGCCACAAAAAAAGAAAGGAUGUAUGUUGUCCAAUAAGGCAAGUUCCCACAGGUAAAAAGCAGGUGCCUUUGAAUCCUGACCUCAAUCAAACAAAACCUGGAAAUUUCCCGUCCCUUGCAGUUUCCAGUAAUGAAUUUGAACCUAGUAACAGCCACAUGGUGAAGUCUUACUCGUUGCUAUUUAGAGUGACUCGUCCAAGAAGAAGAGAGUUUAAUGGAAUGAUUAAUGGAGAAACCAUGAAAAUAUUGGUAAUUUUUUUUUUUACUAGAUUUUAUCACUGGAGAUUAAGAUGGUCAUUGAAAAUGAUUGUACCAGUGUUCCUUCAUGAUAGUCAUGGUGCUGAGUCUUAAAGCAAACAGUGAAUUCACCUCCACCUCAACAUUUUGUUGUGCAAAUUUUCAAACAUAAAGGACAAUGAGAAGUAUUUUAUAGUGAACACUUAUCUACUUACCUCUUAGAUUCAACAAUGAAUAUUUUAUUAUACUUGUUGCAUAUUUAUCCCCCUACCCAUCCCUCUUUUCUUCCAACAAUUGUGAAUUCAUCUUUGAGGUAUUCAUUCAACAAACACAUAGGUGCUGGGGAUGAUUUAAUUUAAUCGAAGAUGAUUAAAGCAUUCAGUCCUGUCCUCCAAAGUCUCACAACCUAGUGUAGGGAAAUAGACAUGAAAUAUAUCAUUGCUGCAAAAUGAUGAGUGGCAUAAUACAGGUAUAUGUGAAGUUCAGCAGAGAAACACGUUGGAAGAAAUAAUCUUUGACUCUUGAAGUAUUGUUUGAAGUUUUUGGGAGUUACCACGAGUGAGAAGGAGUUUGCCUAGCAAAGAUAAUUCUAAACAGAAACAUUAGCAUUUGCAAAGAUGUGGGGUUAAUGUUGUGAGUGUUAAAAAGAACAUAUAGUAAAAAUGCAAAAUUGGAAACGUGGUCUGUAUAUUAUUGCAACUUUAGUGUAAUUCCUACCUCAUUUGGGAUAAAUGUAGCAUGUUUUAUGUUAAGGGACCAUAUAUCGUAACACAUUUUUGUUCUAAUAUUUGAUUUAUGAGAAAUGUUUGUUAAAUUUAGAUGUCAGUGAAGAGCUUCCAGCCAGAAGAAAAUGAAAUCGUGAGGAUGGGGAAAAGACAUUUGUUGCACAAAUGACAGUAUUUGAUAAAAACAGGUAAUGUUGAUGAACAAGCGAGGCUCCCACAAUGUUCUGGAAAUGUUUUCAUUCUGAAG